Molecule: transfer RNA, 87 nt
Filed under: Acidobacteriota bacterium
Lineage: Bacteria; Pseudomonadati; Acidobacteriota
Also listed under: 5 other names
Description: Acidobacteria bacterium (hot springs metagenome) tRNA-Leu
Rfam family: tRNA
About the family: Transfer RNA (tRNA) molecules are approximately 80 nucleotides in length. Their secondary structure includes four short double-helical elements and three loops (D, anti-codon, and T loops). Further hydrogen bonds mediate the characteristic L-shaped molecular structure. tRNAs have two regions of fundamental functional importance: the anti-codon, which is responsible for specific mRNA codon recognition, and the 3' end, to which the tRNAs corresponding amino acid is attached (by aminoacyl-tRNA synthetases). tRNAs cope with the degeneracy of the genetic code in two manners: having more than one tRNA (with a specific anti-codon) for a particular amino acid; and 'wobble' base-pairing, i.e. permitting non-standard base-pairing at the 3rd anti-codon position.
Source: RNAcentral
GCCGAAGUGGCGGAAUUGGCAGACGCGCUACAUUCAGGGUGUAGUGCCCGUCAGGGCGUGGAGGUUCGAGUCCUCUCUUCGGCACCA